UCAUGAAGGUGUCCCUGAAGCAUAUGUGG
This 29-nucleotide non-coding RNA is filed under the name Mus musculus (house mouse). The record is from RNAcentral. Lineage: Eukaryota; Metazoa; Chordata; Mammalia; Rodentia; Muridae.